Long non-coding RNA from Gallus gallus (chicken), 1032 nucleotides. NCBI's taxonomy places the organism in Eukaryota, Metazoa, Chordata, Aves, Galliformes, Phasianidae. The record is from Ensembl.
GUGAAGAUGAACCCAAAUUAAGGCCCUUAUUCAACGGGGCUCUGGUUUAAACAGACCCAUGCCCAGGCACACUGUGGUGUGGCUGUUGGAUUGUUAAGGGACGUGGAGAAAUAAUGCCCCAGGGUACAGCCCCAUGAGCCUUCCUGGUAGCUCUGAUUCAGAAAGGAGGUUAAGCAGUCGCAAACAAAGAAUCUUAAGCAAGUGCAAGGAGAGAAAUAGCAAUUCCUGAUCAGCAUCAACGUACCAAUGUGAUUUUAUUUAAUCACAGCCAGCACUUGAUCUCACUGAUGAGAAUUAGAGAACCGAGUAAGGAGUGUCUCCUGGAUUCCUCAGGUAUUUUAGAAAAUAUUAAUAUUUUCCAGCCACUCAAGGCACUAAAAGCAAAAACAGCACCAGCAGAGGGAGACAAACCCUGUUAUCAGACCAGGACCAGUAGGAAUCACUGCUUCUUUGUAGGAACCUGAACUGGAAACCUGAAGGAGGAACACCGGUGGUGAGAUGUGGUGUGCCAUUAAAGCCUGCAUCUGCUUAACAGCAUGAAAUAAGGACAGAAGAAGUUCUCUUAAAUAUAUAUGUAUAUAUAUAUGUAACCCAUUAAAACCAUGGGUUUUAAUGUCACUUGAAAAGAAAUUUCAAUCUUGGCAAGAAACUGAAAUCAUGGCUUCCUGGAGGAUAUAUGAAGCAGACAGGACAGGAACUGCUUGUGUGGGAGUUCUGCAUCUCUUAUCUGGAGAAAAGCCACAUCGUAGAUGGGGAAAUGUCAUCUUAUAGCAUGAACCACGAGAAGAAAACGUGCAGGGGGAUGGGUAUGUGAAAAUCAUUCUUUAAUUAGUUGUCUAGAUAGAAAUAACUGCGGAUGCCUUCGAAUAGACUGCUGCUACAGAUGAAACCAACAAUAAAAAUCUUUGGGAGCGCUCGACAAGGAUUUUUUCUUUCUGUACUGUGGGUACUUGUGAUGACAUUGACUGCUGCAAAUACAUACUGGUAGGAGGCCUUGGGAGGUCAUCUCUCCCCCCUACCCCAAGGUCUGAA